Long non-coding RNA from Daphnia pulex (common water flea), 379 nucleotides. RefSeq lists it as uncharacterized. The transcript has 4 exons. The record is from RefSeq and is a predicted model, not a curated record. Lineage: Eukaryota; Metazoa; Arthropoda; Branchiopoda; Diplostraca; Daphniidae.
UGUUCUUUAAUGGUGAAACGAGGCGAAAUGAGCGAGACAAAUUGUUGCUUAUUUAUACUUAUAUUCCUGUGAUUUCAAUUACCAAAUUGAACUUCAUAUCAUAUUUGACUUAGCGGUCAGUCAAUUUCCAUCCAAUAGACCCAUAAUGCUGUCAAAACCUAUGUUUGAAGCUCACAUAUAGUGGAAUACAAAUCUGCCGAGUUAAGGAUCUUUUCUGAAUCUCAGAAUUUUUAUGGCGUACCCUGCAAUAGCAUGUUUGUUGUUAUGGCUGUUUUAUUUGUGUUUAGAAGGAAACCCCGCUAAGAGAUAGAGUUUCAGUGACAUGAAGAGUGUGAAGUGAACCACCUAUCACCAUGCUACUAUAACACUUCAUGACACU